Molecule: ribosomal RNA, 409 nt
Filed under: uncultured microorganism
Description: bacterial SSU rRNA
Rfam family: Archaeal small subunit ribosomal RNA
Source: RNAcentral
GCGCAGCAGGCGAGAAACCUUCGCAAUGCGGGAAACCGCGACGAGGGGACUCCCAGUGCCUACGCUCAGCGUAGGCUGUUCCCGAGCCUAGAAAGCUCGGGGAGUAAGGGCUGGGUAAGACGGGUGCCAGCCGCCGCGGUAAUACCCGCAGCCCGAGUGGUGGCCACUAUUAUUGGGCCUAAAAGCGUCCGUAGCCGGCCCGGUAAAUGCCUGGGUAAAUCGUGAGGCCUAACCUCACGAAUUCCGGGUAGACUGCCGGGCUAGGGACCGGAGGAGGGAGAGGGUACUCCAGGGGUAGGGGUGAAAUCCUGUAAUCCCUGGAGGACCACCGGUGGCGAAGGCGCUCUCCUAGGACGGGUCCGACGGUGAGGGACGAAAGCCAGGGGAGCGAACCGGAUUAGAUACCCGU